AUGGCCUGACUGUUCUGAGGUAUCCUCCAGGGCACCCUGAGUCUACACAUCUAUUCCUAGAAAUUUUAAAGUACAUAAUAGCUAUAGGCUUUCUUUGAGGUGCCGAUGUUGAAAUUCUGGCCUUUGUUCAAACAGUAGGAAGAUUUUACUCAAGACUGUUGCAGUGAAGGAGAGAGAUCUGACUCCACUCUGAACACGAUCCUUUCCCGGAGUUCAGUUAUGGGUGUGAGAGGUUUGCAAGGAUUUGUGGGAAGUACCUGUCCACAUAUAUGUACAGUAGUAAAUUUCAAAGAACUGGCAGAGCACCACCGAAGCAAGUAUCCUGGAUGUACCCCUACCAUUGUGGUUGAUGCCAUGUGUUGUCUCAGAUACUGGUAUACUCCAGAGUCUUGGAUCUGCGGUGGCCAGUGGCGAGAAUACUUUUCUGCUUUGCGAGAUUUUGUUAAAACUUUUACGGCGGUUGGGAUCAAGUUGAUAUUCUUCUUUGAUGGCAUGGUGGAGCAGGAUAAGAGAGAUGAAUGGGUGAAACGAAGGCUCAAGAACAAUAGGGAGAUAUCCAGGAUUUUUCAUUACAUCAAGUCACACAAGGAGCAGCCAGGCAGAAAUAUGUUUUUCAUCCCCUCAGGGCUAGCUGUGUUUACACGAUUUGCUCUAAAGACACUGGGCCAGGAAACUUUGUGUUCCUUACAGGAAGCAGAUUAUGAGGUAGCUUCCUAUGGCCUCCAGCAUAACUGCCUUGGGAUUCUAGGGGAAGACACUGAUUACCUAAUCUAUGACACUUGUCCCUACUUUUCAAUUAGCGAGCUCUGCCUCGAGAGCCUGGACACUGUCAUGCUCUGCAGAGAGAAGCUCUGUGAGAGUCUGGGCCUCCAUGUAGCCGACCUUCCUCUUCUGGCCUGCCUCCUUGGCAACGACAUCAUCCCAGAGGGCAUGUUUGAAAGCUUUAGGUACAAAUGCUUAUCAUCCUAUACCUCUGUAAAAGAGAACUUUGACAAAAAAGGUAACAUCAUAUUAGCUGUGUCAGACCAUAUAUCGAAAGUUCUUCACUUGUAUCAAGGUGAGAGAAAAUUAGAAGAGUUAUUACCUCUGGGACCAAACAAAGCUCUUUUUUAUAAAGGAAUGGCAUCGUAUCUUUUACCAGGACAGAAAUCUCCAUGGUUUUUCCAAAAACCCAAAGGUGUAAUAACUUUGGACAAACAAGUAAUAUCCAUGAGUUCGGACCCUGAGUCCAGGGAAGAAGUUCCCAUGUGUUCAGACCCUGAAUCCAAGCAAGAAGUUCACAUGUGUUCAGACCCUGAAUCCAGGCAAGAAGUUCCCAUGUGUUCAGACCCUGAACCCAGGCAAGAAGUUCCCAUGUGUUCAGACCCUGAAUCCAGGCAAGAAGUUCCCAUGUGUACAGGCCCUGAAUCCAGGCAAGAAGUUCCCAUGUGUACAGGCUCUGAAUCCAGGCAAGAAGUUCCCAUGUGUACAGGCCCUGAAUCCAGGCAAGAAGUUCCCAUGUGUACAGGCCCUGAACCCAGGCAAGAAGUUCCCAUGUGUACAGGCCCUGAAUCUAGGCAAGAAGUUCCCAUGUGUACAGGCCCUCAGUCCGGGCAAGAAGUUUUAAUAUGGACAGACCCUGAAUCUAGGCAAGAAAUUUUGUGUACAGGCCAUGAAUCCAAACAGGAAGUUCCCAUAUGUACAGAUCCUAUAUCCAAGCAAGAAGACUCCAUGUGUACACACCCUGAAAUCAAUCAAAAAUUACCUGUAGCAACAGAUUUUGAAUUUAAGCUAGAAGCUCUCAUGUGUACAAACCCUGAAAUUAAACAAGAAGACCCCACGAAUGUGGGGCCUGAAAUAAAGCAACAAGUAACCAUGGUUUCAGACACAGAAAUCUUAAAGAUUGCUAGAACACAUCACGUCCAAGCAGAGAGCUACCUGGUGUACAACAUCAUGAGCAGUGGAGAGAUUGAAUGCAGCAACACCCUGGAAGAUGAGCUUGACCAGGCCUUACCCAGCCAGGCCUUCAUUUACCGUCCCAUCCGACAGCGGGUCUACUCACUCUUACUGGAGGACUGUCAAGAUGUUGCCAGCACCUGCCCGGCUGUCAAGGAGUGGUUUGUAUAUCCUGGGAACCCACUGAGGCACCCGGACCUCGUCAGGCCACUGCAGAUGAGUGUUCCAGGGGGAACGCCUAGUUUGAAAAUAUUAUGGCUGAAUCAAGAGCCAGAAAUGCAGGUUCGGCGCUUGGACACACUCCUCGCCUGUUUCAACCUUUCCUCCUCAAGAGAAGAACUGCAGGCUGUCGAAAGCCCGUUUCAAGCUUUGUGCUGCCUCUUGAUCUACCUCUUUGUGCAGGUGGACACUCUUUGCCUGGAGGAUUUGCAUGCGUUUAUUGCGCAGGCCUUGUGCCUCCAAGGAAAAUCCACCUCGCAGCUUGUAAAUCUACAGCCUGAUUACAUCAACCCCAGAGCCGUGCAGCUGGGCUCCCUUCUCGUCCGCGGCCUCACCACUCUGGUUUUAGUCAACAGCGCGUGUGGCUUCCCCUGGAAGAUGAGUGAUUUCAUGCCCUGGAAUAUAUUUGAUGGGAAGCUUUUUCAUCAGAAGUACUUGCAGUCUGAAAAGGGUUAUGCUGUGGAGGUGCUUUUAGAACAAAAUAGAUCUCGGCUCACCAAAUUCCACAACCUGAAGGCAGUGGUCUGCAAGGCCUGCAUGAAGGAGAACAGACGCAUCACCGGCCGAGCCCACUGGGGCUCACACCAUGCAGGGAGGUGGGGAAGACAGGGCUCCGGCUACCACAGGACGGGCUCUGGGUAUAGCCGUUCCAGUCAGGGGCAGCCGUGGAGAGACCAGGGACCAGAAAGAGGUUGUAUAGUUCCAGUAAAUAAACAGAUAAGUAUACCGAUGCAUCUAAUUUUUAUCAUUUAGUGAAAUAAAAACAAAUAAUUUCCAUGCUUGAUGCUAGCCCUGUCUGCUUCUGGCCCCUUUAUUCAUUUUCUAUCAGUUCAUUCUGCUCAAGAUCCAGUUUUUGUAAUUUGCUCGCUAGAAGGCACUUGUAAAGUUUACAUGUGGAAGAUCCAUUGUUCUCAUGAAAAAAGGGCAGGUUGUAGUGUUUCACCAUAGCCGUGUUCAGGUGAUAGCAUUCCGAUAUUUUCCGUGACUUGGAUUAUACUGUGAGGUAGAAAAUAGCCCCAACCCUGUGAUUUUUACAUAUAUUGUACAGAUACUGUUUUAAUGCAUGUAUUAUGCUGAAUUUAAAUACAUCGAGAGCUUCACAUCAGGAUUUGAGCUCAAAUUCCUUACAGUUUUGAGAGCCAAACUUCAUAAACUUUGAAAUUACCUAAUAUUUAUCAUUGAAUGCCUUAAAAGCCAAAUCUACCUUUAAUUUAUGGUAUUUGUGACUUUCACAACGUCUCAAAUGUGUAGACUCGCAAGCUGCUCAAAUUAUUCUCUAAAACACAGCAAGUCUUCGGUGUGAAUCCAGUUGACCUUUGGGGUCCGUCUGGGGUGGAGUCUGCAUGGAGGCUGCAGGGCCGCAUGUCUGUUGAGUACCGUGUCCUUUCCUCUUGGGUCUGUGCAGUCAGCAAACAUUGCGAGUCCACCGUAUGAUUGUUCAGGGUAGAUCAGAAUUCGUGGUGACUGUGUUUGAAAUGCCCGUCCUUGAGAGAGGGCUCCAUGAAUUUAGGUUUAUAUGUGCUUGAGAUGUUUCCUUGAAUGAGCCUAACCUGCAGAAACUCUACCCCACCAAGCCGUGUGCUCACUGUCAUCUGGAGCUUCAAGAUGGCCCCCACUGAGCAUGUGCAGUCCGUCCUCUCAUGGUCUCUACUGCAGUUUAACAUAAGGGUCACUUCCACUUUGUCACUGACUAAAUCCAAGUAUUUAUACCAGUGCAGUGCAGCUGAGAUCUGGGCAGAAGACCCUCCGUUUGUGCAAGGAUAUUUGAGAUUGCUUUUAACUUAGAAGGUACUGCAGUUGAUUGGAGUAAACCACGAACAGGGAACCUGAAAACAACAGGAGCGAUUUUGUAAACUGACCUAGCCUCAGACUGAAGCCUGGUGCUGGGGGCCGUUGCCGCUGCCCUCGGUGACUCUGGCCUAGGGGUGCAGUCCUGUGCGAUGCGUGUGCUGUGGCUUUCCAGUUCGCUUCUCCACUCUGGUUAAGAGUCUGCUUUCAGGUCAGAAACUGCAGCCCUGAGGUCGUGUGUGUGUAGAUUGCUCAGCGCCUGUCCUGGGGGCUCCCCGUGGGCUGGGGGCCUACAGCCCUGACCUGGCGGAUCCUGGCGGAUCUGUCUGCAGCUGGCAGUGCACAUUAGGGCUGCUUUGGGAAGAGUGCGGGAUCUGGGCUUCUGAGUCUUUGGGGUGAGAGGCCUUCCUCACAUGAGCCAUGGUGAGGCUGCUCCCAGAGGAAGGUGAGCAUGUGCAGAGCACUUAGGUCCAAAUGGGUGGGUAGAGCUUACGCUCCCCCUCCAUCACUCCCUCGCUCUCUCUGCUGCUUUAAAUAGCAGAUCUGAGAUCUCCUUGACAAGGUGAUAUUUAAGCAAAGGCCUGAUGAGAGGGUGGGAGCUGAUGCCAGACACCUCUGUGCCAGAUGUGGAGACAGAGGAGGCAGUCAGAGCUGUCACGAGGUCAGGUGGGCUAGACCUGGAGGGCCCUGCAGCUCUGUGUGAAUCUGGAGUCCACACCAACCAAGAAGCUGGACCCAGGUGAUUGCAGCAGGUGGUGAGACCUCAGUGACCACAUCCCGUGGAAAUGCUCAAGGCCUGCAGACCGUCCACAUCCAGCUGAUGAUGGCACACAGCUUGGUCUAGAUCUAGGGUCUAGUAAUGUUGGAAAUACUGGGUUGACUGAUGUGGAGUAAAGCCACUGGGUGUAACGGGCAUCCCAGCCUCAUCCAUCCACACCUUCCCGCCCUGGAGAUCCAUGACCAGCCUGGCCGUAAAUGCCAGGCCAACCUCGAUGACAUGAAAGGCAUCGGCCCCUCCAGGUGAGGAUUCAGCAGAACCCACCUGACCCAGUAAGGCAGGCUGGAGGGGAGGGAAGAGCCGCAGCCUCUCUUUCGGGCAGCCUGACUGGGCAGGGCAUGCUGUCGUGUCCCCUACUCCUAGCCUCGUGGUAAGAAAGGGGACCUUCUCUUACCCUCUGGCUUGGAGUUGUCCCCUUCUUCCCCCUGGGCCUCAGGAAGGUGGGGAGGGGAUGGUCAAGAGAGUCCACAGUCCAGAUGGGAGGAUGGGCAAAGGCUGUGGGUUCUGCAGACAGGUGUGCCCGCCCGUCACAUCACGGAGGAAACGAGAGUGUGCCGUCAGGCCUGCCACUGACGGGACGCGUCGCUGCAGGCAACGCCCUGAACCCUUUCCAUCGGGCACGUGCCCUAGAUAACCUUGAGUGUCCUUUCUAGCUCUGGAAUUCUGUGACUUUGGAUUCUAUUUAUUGAAUGGUGGGUGAGACGUUAGUAAAGUGUAACUCUCAGGAGCCAGUAAGGAAGGUGGAACCAUGUCAUAACUCCUAGGAGUGAGUGAGAAAGGUAGAGCUGUGUCAUUUACAGACAGAUGUACCAUCAAGAACAUGCCCCGGCCUGCCCUGAUCUUAGAAGGUAGGUAGAGUGGGACCUGUUUGGUACUGACUCCUCUGGGAAUGGUAAGAGUCACAGGCUUUUCUUUUUUCCCUUUCUUCCAGAGGUGGCCCGCUGUGGUAGCUUCAGACAGACUGACUUUGACUCAAGCCCUGGUUCUGUCCCUUCCCAGUGGCCUGCCCUUAGGGGAUCCCUGGACCCCUGGGCUGCUCCCUGGCUUUUGAUCAGUGUGGCCUGACCAGCUGCAGGGACGGCGCCUCCACAGCACCAGCACCCAGGCGGAGGUGAUCGUGGCCGCUUCUUCCAAAACCAAGUUUUUCCUUUCCUGGCAUUAAUGCUAACAUUUCUCUUAAUAUUUAUGUCAAACUGUUCUGUGAAACAUAAAGCAAUGUCAGUCCUACCUCAGUGUCGCUGUUCUUGCAGAAUGAAGUGAAGCAGGAACAGCACCAAAGCCUGCAGGUGUGGCCUGGAGGGAGCAGAGCCGUCUGCUCCUCCCGGGGCUCCCCCAGCGCAUAGCCCUGGGCCGGGUGCCAGGAAGCAUGCCAUGCACAUUGGCUUCUUUCUUUCUUUAGUGUGAUGACAGAGACAGGAGCGUCUUUGAAGUAGACCAGAAGAACCCCCUUCCUUGGAUUGACAGGAAACAGGUUUUUUUCUGAUUCUGUUAGCAGAGAACAGCGUCCAGAAAUUUCUCCUCCUCGUGCAAAUUAAAACAGCAGAAUGACUUUCCAUAGGCAGAACCGUAGCUAGUCAUUGUCAGCCCUGGAUCCCUGCCCGGGGAAAGUCUCACUCUUGGAACCCUGUGUGCCUCUGCAGCAGAUCCCUCGGCCAGCCGGUAACAGGCAGCCCCCAGUCACCCCUGGUCUUGCCAGAAGUCCGGAAGCCACCAUGGUUUCCUCGUCCUGCCUGGUGGCAGCUCCUUGGGGCAGGCUGAGCUAAGUCUGAGGGAUCUCUAAGUGGCAUGCAGCAGCUGGUUGUGUGGGUGAGGAGACAGCCCUCAGAUGGACACAGGAAGCAGACAGUAUGAGCAUGACCAGUGGAGAAGGUACUAGCCGUCCUCCAGAAAGAGCGUGGAGAGAAAAAGAGGCACACCUGGACGCAGAGCCCUGCUAGCGCCCUCCUCUGCUGUCGCAGCUGCAAGGAGACCAUGCCUGUGGGAGCCGGGCCUCGCUUGCAUGAAGAAGGAAAGAUGCCUUUUCAGUGGUGCCUCCGCCCAUCAUGCAGAAGAGCUUUUGUUGGCUUCUCUCCCGAGCUUGUGCCUGAUUCUGUGGCCCAAAACAAUCAUUGUUAAUAUCUUCGUGUAUUUCAUUCUGAUCUUUCAUUCAUAUAUAUGAUGCCUAGCUAAUUUCAUUUUAAAAUAAAUGGGGAUCUGUUGUAUUCUGAUUUUUUAUUAACAACACUAGAUUAUGAGGGAUUGUCUCCUGUUAUUAGAAAGUCAGAAAACACUAUAUAGUAGUCCUCCCUUAUCUGUGGGAGAGACAUCCCAAGACCCUCAGUGGAUGCCUGAGACUGUGGAUAGUAUGUGUGGAACCCUACAUAUAUGUAUACACGUGGCUUUUUCCUCUACGUACAUACUGUGGCAAAGCUUAACAAGGAACAGUAAGAGAUUAACAGCAGUCAAUAACCAAUAAAAGUUACGUGAAUGUGAUCUCUCUCAAAA
Molecule: non-coding RNA, 7204 nt
Organism: Macaca mulatta (Rhesus monkey)
Lineage: Eukaryota; Metazoa; Chordata; Mammalia; Primates; Cercopithecidae
Source: RefSeq, a predicted model, not a curated record